Molecule: ribosomal RNA, 500 nt
Filed under: uncultured Halorhabdus sp.
Lineage: Archaea; Methanobacteriati; Methanobacteriota; Halobacteria; Halobacteriales; Haloarculaceae
Description: bacterial SSU rRNA
Rfam family: Archaeal small subunit ribosomal RNA
Source: RNAcentral
UUCCGGUUGAUCCUGCCGGAGGCCAUUGCUAUUGGGAUCCGAUUCAGCCAUGCUAGUCGCACGGGUUAGACCCGUGGCGAAAAGCUCCGUAACACGUGGUCAAACUACCCUGUGGAGGAGGAUAACCUCGGGAAACUGAGGCUAAUACUCCCUACGGCUCCUCGCCUGGAAUGGCGGGAGCUGGAAACGCUCCGGCGCCACAGGAUGUGACUGCGGCCGAUUAGGUAGACGGUGGGGUAACGGCCCACCGUGCCUAUAAUCGGUACGGGUUGUGAGAGCAAGAGCCCGGAGACGGAAUCUGAGACAAGAUUCCGGGCCCUACGGGGCGCAGCAGGCGCGAAACCUUUACACUGCACGUCAGUGCGAUAAGGGGAUCCCGAGUGCGAGGGCAUACAGUCCUCGCUUUUCUGCACCGUAAGGUGGUGCAGGAAUAAGGGCUGGGCAAGACCGGUGCCAGCCGCCGCGGUAAUACCGGCAGCCCAAGUGAUGGCCGCUAUUAU